RNAcentral lists this ribosomal RNA (426 nucleotides) under uncultured bacterium. RNAcentral's name for it is "bacterial SSU rRNA". It matches the Rfam family "Bacterial small subunit ribosomal RNA", at positions 355 to 773 of the family's 1533-position model. The record is from RNAcentral.
UGGGGAAUUUUGGACAAUGGGCGCAAGCCUGAUCCAGCAAUGCCGCGUGAGUGAAGAAGGCCUUCGGGUUGUAAAGCUCUUUUGUCAGGGAAGAAACGGUCGAGGAUAAUACCUUUGGCUAAUGACGGUACCUGAAGAAUAAGCACCGGCUAACUACGUGCCAGCAGCCGCGGUAAUACGUAGGGUGCGAGCGUUAAUCGGAAUUACUGGGCGUAAAGCGUGCGCAGGCGGUUAUGUAAGACAGUUGUGAAAUCCCCGGGCUCAACCUGGGAAUUGCAUCUGUGACUGCAUAGCUAGAGUACGGUAGAGGGGGAUGGAAUUCCGCGUGUAGCAGUGAAAUGCGUAGAUAUGCGGAGGAACACCGAUGGCGAAGGCAAUCCCCUGGACCUGUACUGACGCUCAUGCACGAAAGCGUGGGGAGCAAAC